This 1232-nucleotide long non-coding RNA is filed under the name Prunus persica (peach). RNAcentral's name for it is "long non-coding RNA (PPER_LNC000543)". The record is from RNAcentral. Lineage: Eukaryota; Viridiplantae; Streptophyta; Magnoliopsida; Rosales; Rosaceae.
UUAAUGUCUUAAAAUUGUAAACAAAUUAAUAAUAUAUAUUUUUACAACAUAUACUAUCAAACCAUAAAUACAGGUAAACAAUGGAAGUUUCACCUAACAAGAUAUUGGCCAUUUAACAAAGAACUUGAAGAAAUGUUAAUCAUACAUAAGCGGUUCGCACAAAAUUAUAUGAAUACAAGGUUGAUAUAUUUUUCACACGGAACGAAACGAAACUAUAAUCAUUUUGGUUAGUCCUAUUUAGAAAUCAUCUACAUUAAUUUUAGGCUUAAUUACACCAAUGCCCCUGAAAUUUGGUUAAAUCUCACUUUGUCCCCCCUCUCAAACUCAAAAUGGCCCACUUUCAUCCCUUGACCGAGGUUUGGUGACUCACUUUGCCCCUACCAUUAACUUCAUCCAAAAGUUUGUUAAUUUUAAUGGCGUGACAAAUAGAGCCCACCUCCACAUAGAUAAAAAUAUAAUUAAAUAUUCUAAUAAUUAAAAAUAAAAAUAAAAAAAAUGAAAAACUACAUUAAAAAAACAAAUUUUUUUAAAAAAUGAUAACACAGUUCACCACACCCCACUCUCCUCUACGAUCACCUCCCCAGCCCAUUCAAUCACCACCCCACCUCAUCCAACCUUUACCUUUAUCACCUCCUCCUCUAAUUCAAUCUCAAUCUCUCUCUAGCUUUAUUCUCACUGUUUGUACCAUAUUUGAAAAAUGGACUAAAUUUGGUUUAUUUUUCAAAUGAAGUUACAUGAGGGCCAGGCCCAGUUUGUUUCUUUCAAAAUUAACAAAAAUAGGGCUUUUCCAUAUUUGAGCUUUAAAUUGGUGAAAUCUCCUUAGAAGCCCAUACCUCAAAAAGCCUCAGCUUUAACCCACAUUAAAGUUAGGAAAGUAAGUAACCGUUACCAGUUGACCCACGUGACUUUCUGAAGACGGGUUUUCGCCAUUAAGAAUGACUUGACUGUCGUCUCUCUCAGCAAGAAAGCAGACUAGCUAAUUGAUGCCAAAAUCGAGAGGAACCGUCUUUCGACUGAUUUUCUAGCUUCGAAAGGACGACAAAUCAAAAGAAAAUCCCUUGAAACCAGUGUUUUCAUAUGAGAUAUCCUUUCUCCUACAUAUGGAUCGACUCACGAGGACAAAUCGGCAGCUGACUUUGGACAACACUCAAGUGUUAUCUUCCAGCCUUCACCGUCAUCGUUAAAGACUUUUUGCCUAUAAAUAUAGAGGCUCAACAUCAGCACUCGAGGAC